RNAcentral lists this long non-coding RNA (592 nucleotides) under Ananas comosus (pineapple). RNAcentral describes it as "long non-coding RNA (ACOM_LNC001487)". Lineage: Eukaryota; Viridiplantae; Streptophyta; Magnoliopsida; Poales; Bromeliaceae. The record is from RNAcentral.
AAAUUAGGUGGAACAUGAGGGCCGAAAAUAAGAGAAAAAAAGAAAUUAAUCCACUCUAAAUCUAUUCUGAUUUGCUAAGUAAACGAAAGGAGGUCAGAAAUCUCUUUCUUUCUUUGAACUAUUCUGAUCCGUCAAAAAUUCAUAAAAAGAAUUCAUGCCCGUCUAGGUUCAUGCUGAAUCGAGCAGUAAGUAGGGGCGAAAAAUAGAAUACAAACUGUAACGGCCCGAAUUAUCAGGCGAUAUGAGAUUCUAGAUGUGGAUCCUACGGGUUCAAGAGGUGGCUCCCACCAAAUCCGUUGGUAUAGUAUUUUGCGCCAUAUACCAUUUAGCUCCCACACCUUCAGCUGGUAUUCGUCUCUGUUACCAACUAUAACGAUCCAAUCUGUUAGCAACAAUAAUCCGUUGGGUCCGAACUACCGGUCCAAAAUAUUUAAGUCCAGCUAUUAUUAUUAGCGUGUAAGUCUCAUAUAUUCUAAUCAGAAUCAGUUUUUCACCUAAUGUGGGAUUAUUGGGACGUUACAACAACUCACACCGUCUGAACGUGUCCCGAUGGGAUAAGAAAUGGGGGCGGGAGUUGUUCCCCGGAACAACU